UACGUAGGGCGCAAGCGUUAUCCGGAAUUAUUGGGCGUAAAGAGCUCGUAGGCGGUUUGUCGCGUCUGCUGUGAAAGACCGGGGCUCAACUCCGGUUCUGCAGUGGGUACGGGCAGACUAGAGUGAUGUAGGGGAGACUGGAAUUCCUGGUGUAGCGGUGAAAUGCGCAGAUAUCAGGAAGAACACCCGUGGCGAAGGCGGCUCUCUGGAACGCAACUGACGCUGAGACGCGAAAGCGUGGGGAGCAACCAGG
This 253-nucleotide ribosomal RNA is filed under the name uncultured bacterium. Its description in RNAcentral is "partial 16S ribosomal RNA". It matches the Rfam family "Bacterial small subunit ribosomal RNA", at positions 524 to 776 of the family's 1533-position model. The record is from RNAcentral.